GUGUUCACUUUGGCAGCACAUAUACUAGAAUUGGAACAGUACAGAGAUUAGCACGGCCCCCGUGCAAGGUUGACAUGCAAAAUCACAAAGCAGAAAAGAGCAAA
Pteronotus mesoamericanus is the source of this 104-nucleotide small nuclear RNA. Lineage: Eukaryota; Metazoa; Chordata; Mammalia; Chiroptera; Mormoopidae. The record is from RefSeq and is a predicted model, not a curated record.